CACAUGUGACGAGUUUGAUCCUGGCUACAGAACGAACGCUGGCGGCAUGCCUAACACAUGCAAGUCGAACGAGACUUCGGUCUAGUGGCGGACGGGUGAGUAACGCGUAGGAACCUGCCAAGCAGUGGGGAGUAACAGCUGGAAACGGCUGCUAAUACCGCAUACGCCCUUCGGGGGAAAGAUUUAUCGCUGUUUGAGGGUCCUGCGUUCGAUUAGUUAGUUGGUGAGGUAACGGCCCACCAAGGCGACGAUCGAUAGCUGGUCUGAGAGGAUGAUCAGCCACACUGGGACUGAGACACGGCCCAGACUCCUACGGGAGGCAGCAGUGGGGAAUAUUGGACAAUGGGGGAAACCCUGAUCCAGCAAUGCCGCGUGCGUGAAGAAGGCCUUAGGGUUGUAAAGCGCUUUCACCUGUGAUGAUGAUGACAGUAGCAGGAGAAGAAGCCCCGGCUAACUCCGUG
This 461-nucleotide ribosomal RNA is filed under the name uncultured bacterium. Its description in RNAcentral is "bacterial SSU rRNA". It matches the Rfam family "Bacterial small subunit ribosomal RNA", at positions 1 to 507 of the family's 1533-position model. The record is from RNAcentral.